UACUAGAGUAGCACUUGCAUAUCAAUAAGCGGAGGAAAAGAAACUAGCAAGGAUUCCCCUAGUAACGGCGAGUGAAGCGGGAAGAGCUCAAAUUUGAAAUCUUAAAGGGUUUCCCUUUACGAAUUGUAGUUUAAAGAAGUGUUUUCUGUUGAGGUUUUGGUAAAAGUUCUUUGGAAUAGGACAUCAUAGAGGGUGAGAAUCCCGUAUUUGACCUUUACUUUCAACUUUGUGAUACACUUUCAAAGAGUCGGAUUGUUUGGGAAUGCAGUCCAAAAUGGGUGGUAAAUUUCAUCUAAAGCUAAAUAUUGGCGAGAGACCGAUAGCGAACAAGUACCGUGAGGGAAAGAUGAAAAGAACUUUGAAAAGAGAGUUAAACAGUACGUGAAAUUGUCAAAAGGGAAGCGUUUGACACCAGUGUUGUUUUUCUGAAAAUCAAUUAAAGAACUGUUUAUGCUAAGUUGUUUAGACUUUAUCAGCUAUCUGUUUAGUUUUGAGCUUUUCUUUAAUGCACUUUUCAGUUAACAAGUCAACAUCAAUUUCUUUUGCUGUAAAAAAGCUUGAGGAAGGUGGCUUGAGAUUCGUCUUAAGUGUUUAUAGCCUCUUGCCUAUGCAGUCGGAGAGAUUGAGGUCUGCAGCGUAGAUCCUUCGGGGCUAAAUGCAUUUGUGCUAAGUUAUAGCAUUUUAUAGACAACUUGUUGACUAUGAUUUGUCUUGUAGCUUACUCGCUUAUGUUAUUUUACCUACGCUUAGGAUGUUGAGCGCAUGUCUCUCUCU
RNAcentral lists this ribosomal RNA (774 nucleotides) under uncultured Neocallimastigales. RNAcentral describes it as "partial large subunit ribosomal RNA". It matches the Rfam family "Eukaryotic large subunit ribosomal RNA", at positions 16 to 616 of the family's 3401-position model. Lineage: Eukaryota; Fungi; Neocallimastigomycota; Neocallimastigomycetes; Neocallimastigales. The record is from RNAcentral.